UAGAAUAUGAUGUAAUAGGUAGCAUGGAGAAUUUUGAAUUCUCAGGUAUGGGUUCAAUUCCUAUAAUUCUAG
RNAcentral lists this transfer RNA (72 nucleotides) under Callithrix jacchus (white-tufted-ear marmoset). It matches the Rfam family "tRNA". From Rfam's summary of the family: Transfer RNA (tRNA) molecules are approximately 80 nucleotides in length. Their secondary structure includes four short double-helical elements and three loops (D, anti-codon, and T loops). The record is from Rfam by way of RNAcentral. Lineage: Eukaryota; Metazoa; Chordata; Mammalia; Primates; Cebidae.